GGCCAGACUCCUACGGGAGGCAGCAGUGGGGAAUAUUGGGCAAUGGCCGCAAGUCUGACCCAGCGACGCCGCGUGAGGGAAGACGGUCUUCGGAUUGUAAACCUCUUUCUUUGGGGACGAAAAAGGACGGUACCCAAGGAGGAAGCUCCGGCUAACUACGUGCCAGCAGCCGCGGUAAUACGUAGGGAGCGAGCGUUGUCCGGAAUUACUGGGUGUAAAGGGAGCGUAGGCGGGAUUGCAAGUUGGAUGUGAAAACUGCGGGCUCAACCCGGAGCGUGCAUUCAAAACUGCGAUUCUUGAGUGAAGUAGAGGCAAGCGGAAUUCCUAGUGUAGCGGUGAAAUGCGUAGAUAUCAGGAGGAACAUCGGUGGCGAAAGCGCUUUACUGGGCCAUUAUUGACGCUGAGGAACGAAAGCCAGGGGAGCAAAUGGGAUUAGAUACCCUCGUA
RNAcentral lists this ribosomal RNA (447 nucleotides) under uncultured bacterium. RNAcentral describes it as "bacterial SSU rRNA". It matches the Rfam family "Bacterial small subunit ribosomal RNA", at positions 329 to 792 of the family's 1533-position model. The record is from RNAcentral.